RNAcentral lists this ribosomal RNA (442 nucleotides) under uncultured bacterium. RNAcentral describes it as "partial 16S ribosomal RNA". It matches the Rfam family "Bacterial small subunit ribosomal RNA", at positions 338 to 795 of the family's 1533-position model. The record is from RNAcentral.
CCUACGGGAGGCAGCAGUGGGGAAUAUUGGGCAAUGGGCGCAAGCCUGACCCAGCAACGCCGCGUGAAGGAAGAAGGCCUUCGGGUUGUAAACUUCUUUUAAGAGGGAAGAGCAGAAGACGGUACCUCUUGAAUAAGCCACGGCUAACUACGUGCCAGCAGCCGCGGUAAUACGUAGGUGGCAAGCGUUGUCCGGAUUUACUGGGUGUAAAGGGCGUGCAGCCGGGAAGACAAGUCAGAUGUGAAAUCCCGCGGCUCAACCGCGGAACUGCAUUUGAAACUGUUGGUCUUGAGUACCGGAGAGGUCAUCGGAAUUCGUGGUGUAGCGGUGAAAUGCAUAGAUAUAAGGAAGAACACCGAUGGCGAAGGCAGAUGACUGGACGGCAACUGACGGUGAGGCGCGAAAGCGUGGGGAGCAAACAGGAUUAGAUACCCCAGUAGUC